GGGGGACAUCAUGGCGGCGCACAUGAUAGCAUGAAGCACCGGUCACAGGGAACCUGGAGCCUAUCCCAGGGAGCAUUGGGCACAAGGAGGGGUUACACCAUGGACAGGGUGCCAAUCCAUCGCAGGUCACAAUCAUACACACACACACCGUUCAUACACUGUUCAUACACUAUGGACACUUUGGGCAUGCCAAUCAGUCUACCAUGCAUGUCUUUGGAAUGGGGAGGAAACCGGAGUACCUGGAGGAAACCCCCGCAGCACGGGGAGAACAUGCACACACAAGGCAGCAGGCAGGAAUCGAAUCCCCAAUGCUGAAGGUGUGAGGCGAAUGUGCUAACCACUAAGCCUAACAUAGGAUCUCUUCAUUGUGCUGGAGUCCUUUAAGGAUCCUCUUUACAAGCCUGUGCAUGAUGCAAACAGAAAUGGAUAUCUCUGAAAGCUGCCUUUUAAGCUAGCAGUCACUUCAGCUGCAUGCUCUGGUGAUAUGCUUACCUUGCAAGGAUUGAUGGCCAGAGGACUCUGGAGUGACCUUUGUUGCUGAACCCAGGUAUUCCUUACACAUGUCGUAUCACAAUUUUCUGAAUCAGUUGUUCAACCUUGCAGCUUUGCUUGAAGGCAAACCCCUGGAGCGUCCCUUUAUGUGUCUGGUAUGCAUCAUGUGGUACUAUUUAGAACGACUAUUAAGCCAACCGAUUCUCAGUCCAACUGUUCGUCUAUUAUGGAGGUACGCUGUGGCAGGCUGCCUUGUCUAAACAGAAUGUCAUCAGUAUUGCCUAUAUGUGGGUUGCACAACCUGGCCCUACUGUGACAUCCAUAGUGUCUCCUCCUCAUGAGCAUUACGUAGAGACCAAGAUGAGAAGCCUCCACUGAACCUACCUGGACUUUCUUCAAGUUCAACUAGAUUAAUAUUGCCCCUCAUAGUGACAGGACAUGGUGGUCGUCUCUGGACAGGUGUCAGUCCCCAUGCUAAUGUAGGUGAUUUUCACCCUCUGGUGGUUAGGAUGGAUGAAAUAGAAAGUGCUAGUUAAGUAUGGAACUUUUCUCUGAUCCCUGAUUAAUCGCCAGGACCAGCACUGACCCAGACAGUUCCAUACGUUAUACAGCCCACAAAUACUCCACAUGCCUAAGUGUCCUUGGGCAAGACACUGAACCCCAAGUUGCUCCCGAUGGCAAGUUAACACCUCGCAUGGCAGCUCUGCUACCAUUGGUGUGUGAGUGUGUGUGUGAAUGGGUGAAU
Long non-coding RNA from Ictalurus punctatus (channel catfish), 1237 nucleotides. The record is from Ensembl. Lineage: Eukaryota; Metazoa; Chordata; Actinopteri; Siluriformes; Ictaluridae.